AUAAUUUCCCUCUAGACCUAGCUGCUAUAGAAGCUCCAUCUAUCAAUGGCUAAGACCCCCGGUCUUAGUGUUAGUGUAUAGGAGUUAUUGAAAAAUAAAGGAGCAAUACCGCCCUCUUGAUAAAACAAGAAGGUGAUUAUUGCUCCUUUAUUUUCUUUUUGUUUGGUACAUUAUCAAAGAUUCAAAUAUCUCAGAAAUAGAAAUAAUAAAGAAAAUGGUCGAAACGAAAUUGUAAAUAAAAUUCAAUUGAAAAUGAAGAAAAUCAAAUAGUAAAUAUUAAGUUAGAAUAGUAAAUAAAUAAAUACAAAUAUACUGAAGGAGUGAAGGGGGCGGAUGUAGCCAAGUGGAUCAAGGCAGUGGAUUGUGAAUCCACCAUGCGCG
Molecule: unclassified non-coding RNA, 381 nt
Filed under: Gymnanthera oblonga
Lineage: Eukaryota; Viridiplantae; Streptophyta; Magnoliopsida; Gentianales; Apocynaceae
Description: partial miscellaneous RNA
Rfam family: tRNA (bases 330-381)
Source: RNAcentral